Molecule: long non-coding RNA, 1674 nt
Organism: Parus major (Great Tit)
Lineage: Eukaryota; Metazoa; Chordata; Aves; Passeriformes; Paridae
Exons: 9
Source: RefSeq, a predicted model, not a curated record
AUACUUUUAAGCAGUGAGGCUCAUUCAGAUCAGACCCAAGAUGAAUAUCAGGAGCUCAAGGUGCUUUCCCUUUGAGGUCUGCAGUUCUGUGAGAGGAUAUUCUGCUGUGAAUAUGACACCCUUUCCUUUCUCUCAGUAUUUAGCUGUGAUCCACUGGCCAAAUACACAGUUUCUGUAAGAGUACAACAGGAGGGCAACGUAUCUUCAUGAAUGAAAAGACAAGACAACCUCCCACAAAAAGGCAGAUGGCUACCACUUAGCCCACAUUAGUUCAGUUGGUCUGUUAUUUAUUCUCCUUGAAAUGAGGUCUCUCUGUGGAAAGUACAUGUUUCUAAGCUGCCAUGUGGGACACCAAGAGUCAUUCUUUUAAUAAAUCAGAAUUAUUUCUAAUUUGUUCAUAUCAGUCAGCCUUGCCAGGUUUUACAAUGACACUUUGAAAUGAGGCUUCAAGAUUUAUGUUGGGUCUAGGCAAGCCCUGUGAAAUUCCUCUGAAGCAAGAUGGCAGAUGACAAAGACAAAGCAACUAAUAUUAAAAUAUUUGAGUGAAAAUAGGCAUCUUCAGCAAGAAAAGAAGUCCAGAGUUCCAUCAUUUAGAAUAUCCUAAAUAAAUAUCACAAAUUUCUCUUAACACUUACUAUUUUUCUGCAUUCAGUCACCCCCACCACCCCCCAGGGUACAUCAGAAGCAAGCAUGAGGGGAAACCAGGCUGAAGCUACAGCUGCUGCUUUGAUGUGCUCCCUCAUGACAACAUAGUUAUGUCAGAUCUGAUGUCAUGAGGCAAUUUUGUUCUUCCAUGUGAGUGGGAACAGAGUGGAACUGACAGAUUUCAGCCUUCACAAUGGCCUCCUGCUCAGCACCACUGCAAUUUUCAUUAAGUCUCUUUACUGCAAAGGAGAAGAGAUUGGCCCCUCGUUUUCAUCUUCACAUGGACUUGGUUCUCCUCUGCUUCGUGAGCUGAGUCACAGAGCUGGACAUUCUCAAAUGUGUAUGUUAUUGUGACUGGAGAAUGACAGACACGUUUGGCCAAGCAACCUAAAUGUAAAAACCACACUUUUACAAUACACAGUUGUAAUCUGGCAAUCUGAGUCUCUGUAACUUGUUGGCCAGAUGGGAGUGAGACAGGAAGAGCAGCACUUGCAGAACAGCAGUCACCCAGACCUGUGCCAGAAGGAGAGAGCUACUAGGGCAUGAACCCUCAAAGUUACACACCCAGAGUGCUCUGGAUGUGGUCCAGAGCCAGAAGAAAUUCUCUGCCAAUAGCACUUUGGCCUUCACAAGACACAUUUCCCAAAAACCUUGGACUAAAUGGAAAGGAAAAACAUUUUGUCUGCUGUAUGAAAACUUUACCCUCCAGAAUUAGGGGGAAAUACAGGAAAGCUAAACAAGAUAUAUGCAGCUUCCCUGGUAUGUUAAUCUGAAGACAGAGAAGAGAAACAAAAUCAGAUGCAAGACCUGAGAAACUGAAUUCAAGGUCAGUUGCAGAUCAAGAAGUAGUUUUCCUGCAGAGGAGCCAACAGCAGAUGAAAUCUGUAAUGGAAACAGAGAGAGAGCUGGGGACAGACCGCAUAAAUAUGUGCAGUUUUCAAGGAAACAGGUGUCCAUUUAUUGUAGAACAUAAAGGUUUCUCCAUGUCACUGCAUAUGGCUAUGUCUGCAGCACCAAAAAUACCACUUU